Molecule: ribosomal RNA, 305 nt
Filed under: uncultured bacterium
Lineage: Bacteria
Description: bacterial SSU rRNA
Rfam family: Bacterial small subunit ribosomal RNA
Source: RNAcentral
CGCCUACGGGAGGCAGCAGUGGGGAAUAUUGGGCAAUGGGCGCAAGCCUGACCCAGCAAUGCCGCGUGAAGGAAGAAGGCCCUCGGGUUGUAAACUUCUUUUAUCAGGGACGAAGGAUGUGACGGUACCUGAUGAAUAAGCUCCGGCUAACUACGUGCCAGCAGCCGCGGUAAAACGUAGGGUGCAAGCGUUGUCCGGAAUUACUGGGUGUAAAGGGAGCGCAGGCGGAUUGACAAGUUGGGAGUGAAAACUACGGGCUCAACCCGUAACCUGCUUUCAAAACUGUCAGUCUUGAGUGGUGUAGA